CACACACACACACACACACACACACACACACACACACACACACACACACACACACACACACACACACUCACACUAGUGUAUGAAGAGUGUCCAAAAAUCUAAAGCAUUCGUGAAUGGGAACCUUUAUUGAUUGUUCAUUGUGUUAUUAUGAGGGGUGUGUACAAGGAAGCAACAUUUUUCAAAUAGAUCCAAUAUCGAAAGGAAUGAGGUUGCAAUGAGGGUAUAAAACUCACUCAGAUUCACUCUCCAGAACAUCCUGACAUAGACUUAAAGAUGGAAUUUGUGCUUCUCCUGCUGAUGGUGACGGCAUGUGCUGCAAUAACUCAAGAUCUCUCCGGUAAAAUGUUUACCUUCCCUCAGGAAAGCAACACAGCUUAUGUGAAACUGACACCAAAAAGAGUGGAUUUCGGAGCUAUAACUGUCUGUCUCAGCCUACUGCUGAUGGGAUUCUAAUCUAUGUUCAUAAUAAACCGGAAACAUUAGGGGGAGAGGACUACAAAGUGAACACGUGGCACUCAAUAUGUUCUACAUGGGACUCUGUGACCGGUGUGGCACAGCUGUGGCUAGACAACAAGCCCUUCAUUAGGAAAUAUGUUGGUGGAGCAAGAAUCAGAAAUCCUGUUAUUAUCAUUGGACAGGAGCAGGAUUCCCAUGGUGGAGGAUUUGACAAAACACAGUCUUUUGUUGGCAUGAUCUCUGAUGUCCACAUGUGGGACUACACCUUCUCCGCCUGUGAGAUCCAGGAGUACAUGCUUGACAGAAACCUAACUCCGGGUAAUGUGCUCAAUUGGAAGGCGCUGGACUACAGAACCUACGGGAGAGUGCUGACAGAACAAAAAACCACUUGCUCAUGUACAGAAUAAAUACAAACAAAUAUAUAAAUGUCAUACUCCUUACGAGGCUUUUUCUUUUGAGUAUGAAAUUCAAACACCCUGUAAACCUGAACAGUGGCAUUAAUCAGCUUGAUCAACACAAUUACCUCAUUUCUGACCACCAUCUUAAAUGUGUGUGUUUAAUUUUUCUUAUUAAAUCUGCAAAUUGUUAUUUGUAAUUAGAUGACAUUUGUGAUAUAUCCUUUUGUCUGCCAUGUUUGCUGCAACUUGUAUGAUGCUCUUCCUGACAGUUCAUUAAAAAUGGCACAUUCUGCA
Trematomus bernacchii (emerald rockcod) is the source of this 1148-nucleotide RNA transcript. It is a transcript of the gene named C-reactive protein-like, with no coding region annotated. The record is from RefSeq and is a predicted model, not a curated record. The transcript is spliced from 5 exons. Lineage: Eukaryota; Metazoa; Chordata; Actinopteri; Perciformes; Nototheniidae.